Long non-coding RNA from Oreochromis aureus, 382 nucleotides. The record is from Ensembl. Lineage: Eukaryota; Metazoa; Chordata; Actinopteri; Cichliformes; Cichlidae.
GUAAACCUCAACAAUAUGAACGUUUGAAGAGAAUACAAAUCAUUAUAACAGGAACUCUGCGACAUACAAAGGAUGAAGUGGUGGAUUCUAUGGUGGCUGAUGUUUUUUCUGUCACGCCAACACUCUGCAUGUCCUUGUCAAAUAUCGGUUGGAAAUUCAGGGGGUCAGGGUUCCUGCAAGAAGCAUUGUAACACAAAUGGGCCAUGAAGAGCCUACAAGAGGUUCUAGAGGAAGAAGAAAUAAAUGGAACUAAUUCAUCAAUGAGUUUUGACAAUGUUGUUGCUCUCCAGUAUAAACCCAAUAAUACCUUCGAAGGCCUCAACAUUUAUGCCAGUAAUAAAAGGGUAUUUAAAAUUAUGGAUUUCAGAAAAUUACUGUGACG